Molecule: ribosomal RNA, 253 nt
Filed under: uncultured bacterium
Lineage: Bacteria
Description: partial 16S ribosomal RNA
Rfam family: Bacterial small subunit ribosomal RNA
Source: RNAcentral
UACGAAGGGGGCUAGCGUUGCUCGGAAUCACUGGGCGUAAAGCGCACGUAGGCGGAUCUUUAAGUCAGGGGUGAAAUCCUGGAGCUCAACUCCAGAACUGCCUUUGAUACUGGGGGUCUCGAGUCCGGAAGAGGUGAGUGGAACUCCGAGUGUAGAGGUGAAAUUCGUAGAUAUUCGGAAGAACACCAGUGGCGAAGGCGGCUCACUGGUCCGGUACUGACGCUGAGGCGCGAAAGCGUGGGGAGCAAACAGG